UCUCAUCAAAUCUUUAACCAUUGUCAUUUGUAAAUCUUUUCUUGUUUAUAAUCACUGUUUAAUUACUACUAAACUAGUGAAGAACUAGAUUUCAGCAAAUUGAGUAUUGGUUACUUAGGAUUGAGUAAACUAAGGAAAAAUGAUUUUGUAGCUUCUUGUUUCAAGUGUUGCUGAUAAAAUGUUUGAAGCUUUAUCUCUUAAGCUGACUGACAAUGCUCCAGUUUACCUCUCCCCUGUGUUACAUACAUUUUUUUCAGCUAUAUAACAUUACUCAUAAUACAGGCAUUUCAUACAAUUCUACAAGUCAAGCUCUCAUUGAAUAUUGUCACAUUAUUCUUAAACAUUAUUUAUUAAUACAAAGAGGGGGGAUUACUCCCUGAUAUGAUAAAAUUAGUUGCAAGUUGAAGAUUGGUGCAUGCUUUACAUAUCCUUAAUUUUGAUCUUCUGGAGGGUGAUAGACGGUCAGUGGUAGAGGUACAUUUUUCUGAUAAUAUUUCCUUUUCUGAAACAACAACAGUUCCUGUGUAGUAGUCUCCAAUGAGUUCUUCACUAUGGCAUAAAGAUCAUAUCAAGGUGUGGGGCAAGGGGUUUGCUUGUGUUUUUACAGAGGAUCAAUGCUUGAUCUGGCCGCCCAGAAAAUGAAUUCAGAUACGAUAUGAAGGAGAACUUCCAACAUCAACAUCCUCUGGAGGAGUCAUUCCAGAAGGUGACCAUCAAAAAACCUCAACAAAAGUCUGCAUGUCAAACACGGAAAACUGAAGCCCACUAAAUAAUAUUACAACAACUUGUGAGCCAAAAGUUGCACAAGUUAUCUUUUUGUGUAGCAAGAAAUUCCUCUAUCAGUGAACUGUUGAAGAAGAAUUUAAUAGGCAUAAGACUUUCUCCUAUGGUGUUUACUAAUAUCUCAGGCAUAAACAUCACUCUUCUCCCUAAAGUGCUUGCGCCUGAUGCCUAAUUAAAUUUACCUAUUAAUAUUACUAUAAUUACUGAUUGUGUAUGUAUUACUUGUACUCGUGUAGCCUCUUACUGCAAUUGUGCAAUCAUUGUAAAAUGGUCUUCUAGAUAUAGAUUUCCAAAUAGUUGGGUAUUUUUGUGUGAUAAUGAAAUAUAUUAAGCCCUUUCUCCACACUAUCAAGGUGUUGAUAGUGUAAGACGCAUUCUUCCUGCUCUAAUAGACCAUCCUGAAUAUAAGCACAAGAGACUUCUCUGAGUUCUGCCAUCUGACUGUGAUGAAAACUUGAAACUUUGAGGUCCUGUCACUGUUGCAGUUGCAGCUGCAUUCCUCCUGCCAGUUCCUAGACUUGUCAUUGGAAUGCUAAAGGAGAUAUCUAAGCUAGCCUGCGCAUAUAGCAAAACAAACUUGACUGCUUCUGUAUUAUCUGAACUCAACCAAGAACUGAGAGAAUUGCGAGCUGCAGUGCUUCAGAAUCGCGCUGCUGUGAACUGUCUGAUGUUAAAAGAGCAUGUAAGAUGUGAUCAGUUUCCAAGAAUGUGCUGUUUCAAUUUCUCAAACUACCCAAAAUCAAUUAGAUGAUAUCCCUCAUAUUGUCAAUAAGUUUUUACAAAUACCUAAGCUAUCUAACUAGUUUUCUUAAUUUCAUUAGAUAUAACUAGUAAUUGUAAGUCUGCCUUUGUUAUGUAUCUGUAUUCCUAUUCUGUUAAUUUGUGUAUGCAAUUUAACUAGUAGUUUGUCAAAACCUAUAUAUAUAUAUAUAUUCAAGUUAUGUCUGUCUUUUGACAUGUUCGAUCUCAGCCAUGUAAUGCAUAUUUCCCACAAAACUGGGUUACCAUAUAAUCCACAAGGCCAAGGCAUUGUGGAACAUGCCCAUGGCACCCUUAAAGCUCAAUUGGAAAAAACAAAAAAGGGGGAGUUAUAUCCCCAGUCACCACAGAACCAUUUAAAUCAUAUCUUAUUUGCAGCUAAAACUGCAUCUGAUAUAUUAAAUCAGAUAAAAGACAUGUGCAAAGAACCCCUGAAUAGUCUCUGGCACGCUGUCACACCUCUCUUAACCCUAAGCAUUUUAUGUCUUCUGUUGCUGUUACUAGGGCCUUGUGUCCCUCACAGCAUGUAGAAACUCAUCCAACAAGCCUUGAGACCUGCGUUAUUUGAAAUUGCAGACGGCCUACCCUCACUUGAAAAUCAUAAGUUCUAAAGUCAAGUAUGGUAGCCAAUGAUGGGUAAGAUAGAGUUGAAUUGUAAAUACCAACCUAAGACAGGGAGUGGUCAACAGAGGACUAUGGCCCCAUGAUGGGUAAGGAUUUACUUCAACCAUACAACCUAAGACAGGUACAUACCUUGACCCAGUCUGAGUUAGGCUGGUUGUUUUAUUAAAGAAAAAAGGGGGAGAUGUUGGGGACCGCCUUUGUCUUCUCACCUGUUUGUAGGCAGAAUGGGAAAGCACCUUCCCCCAUGUCUGAACGCAGCAUGGGAAAACACCAGCUUGAGAACAACCGGCGCAGUCCUUGGAAGUUAUCUGUCCACAGAAACAUAUCUUGUCCUUGAAGACGAGCCAAGACUCCUCACUCUGAAAAUAGGGAGACAUUGAAGAUGUGUGGAAACACCGCCCUUGCUUCUGGCUAUGCCCUUCCCCCACUUGCCAAUGUGGCAGGAAUGGAGAACAAAGAACAUUCUGUUUAUGCAUUCCAUGAGCAACUUACUGGAACGCUGCUGAGCCUACCUUUGCCCGGUUACUGCUGAUGUCAAUACUGUGCUUGAUUGUUUAUUGGAUAAUGCUAUGUCCUGGAAUCAUGUAACCCCACUGCAUUUUAUAAACCCUGGACCUUCAAUAAAGUUUUGCUGGCGAUGUG
Non-coding RNA from Manis javanica (Malayan pangolin), 2808 nucleotides. NCBI's taxonomy places the organism in Eukaryota, Metazoa, Chordata, Mammalia, Pholidota, Manidae. The record is from RefSeq and is a predicted model, not a curated record.